UACGAAGGGGGCUAGCGUUGUUCGGAAUUACUGGGCGUAAAGCGCACGUAGGCGGAUAUUUAAGUCAGGGGUGAAAUCCCAGAGCUCAACUCUGGAACUGCCUUUGAUACUGGGUAUCUUGAGUAUGGAAGAGGUAAGUGGAAUUGCGAGUGUAGAGGUGAAAUUCGUAGAUAUUCGCAAGAACACCAGUGGCGAAGGCGGCUCACUGGCCCGGUACUGACGCUGAGGUGCGAAAGCGUGGGGAGCAACAGGAGUUAAG
This 259-nucleotide ribosomal RNA is filed under the name uncultured bacterium. Its description in RNAcentral is "partial 16S ribosomal RNA". It matches the Rfam family "Bacterial small subunit ribosomal RNA", at positions 524 to 782 of the family's 1533-position model. The record is from RNAcentral.